This is a long non-coding RNA of Zea mays, 1199 nucleotides long. RefSeq lists it as uncharacterized. NCBI's taxonomy places the organism in Eukaryota, Viridiplantae, Streptophyta, Magnoliopsida, Poales, Poaceae. The transcript has 2 exons. The record is from RefSeq and is a predicted model, not a curated record.
AAAGAAUACAAGCCAAACACACACUCUCCAAGCACUAGCAGUGGCAGUAUAUACUACUAGGAGAAGAUGAUGUUCCUGCCUUCUUCUCCACGCGGAAGUUACCGGGAGUACCUUGUGCAACUGCUUGCUGCCAUCGUCAUUGGACUGCUCACGAUACCUAGCGCCGUUUCUCCUACUUCACUACCUGUUGAUCAGCAUCGCUGUGUUGAUCCCGACCGCUGUCUCCAGUAUGGCCUCCACAUAAAAUGUGAUCUGCUGUAGAAGCUACAUACAGCCACGUGCAUACAAGGGCACACUUCUUUCCACUCAUCUCCAGCCGCCGUACGUCUUCGUGUGUGUGCUCGUCACAACACCAUAGACUAGAAAAACAAACGAGCUACUACUACUUGAAAUGCAUACUAGUUAAUAAAGUGAACCUUUUCUGCUCUCGUUUGUUCUAGAAAUAUUUUCACAUUGCUUGAAUGCUUGAUUGACAUGAAACAUGUCUUGGGCUAAUACACUAGUACACAGAUGUUCUAUAGCGACGGUUGUGAACAUAUUUACACUAUCGUUUUUCAGAACUGCCAAUGUUGUACAUCACAGAUAUCACAUAAUCAUCACAUACAUAAUAGAGACCACAUAUUUCACCAAAAAACACAAAUCUCACAAUUUUUUCACAAACAUGUCUAUGUUCAUACCAAGUUUCACCAACAUAAGUAUUACCAACUCUAAAACAUAAGUUUUUCACAAACAUAAGUUCAGAACAAGUUUAUCACACAAAGUCUCACAAUGACCACUAAGCUAAGAGAAGAUCAUCAGCGAGGUGGGCAGCUGGACUGGUGAGGCGAUGGGCUGGGCGAUUCAUGAGGGUUAUUGGAUGCCACCCCAAAUUGUUCCUGCAUAGAGCAGAGAUUGCAUGUGUUAUACCAGAUAAAUAUAUAUUAUGCAAGACUAAAAUUUUGAUACUCACAGGAGUAUGGAACUGAGCAAGGUCAACUGGAGGGAACAACGGAGGUGGUGGAGCAAAACCUUGUGCGGCGCCAAGGCUCUGCAUGUACUGAAACAUCUCUGCCAUCCUCUAUUGAUCUGCCAACCGGGCCUCCCACUCCGCCAUCAUCCUCGCCCCCAUCUCAUGUCAUUCCCUCCUCUCUUCUUCUAGCUGGGCAUGUAAUAUUUCAACCUAAAGUUAUAAUAACUCAAAGAGAAGGUAUAUAACUCAA